RNAcentral lists this ribosomal RNA (913 nucleotides) under uncultured archaeon. RNAcentral describes it as "bacterial SSU rRNA". It matches the Rfam family "Archaeal small subunit ribosomal RNA", at positions 1 to 922 of the family's 1478-position model. The record is from RNAcentral.
UUCCGGUUGAUCCUGCCGGAAGCCAUUGCUAUCCGAGUCCGACUAAGCUAUGCGAGCCGAGAGUCUCCGGGACUCGGCGAACUGCUCCGUAAUACGCAGAUAACCUACCCUUGAGUGGGGAACAAUCGCGGGAAACUGCGGCUAAUGCCCCAUAGGUGCUUGGUGCUGGAAUGCUCUUGCACCCAAAGCUCCGGCGCUCAAGGAUGGGUCUGUGGCCUAUCAGGCUGUUGUUGGUGUAAUGAACCAACAAACCGAUAACGGGUACGGGCUAUGGAAGUAGGUGCCCGGAGAUGGAUUCUGAGACAUGAAUCCAGGCACUACGGUGUGCAGCAAGCGCGAAACCUUUACAAUGCAUUCACGUGCAAUAAGGGGACCUGGAGUGCUCCAGCACUGCUGGAGCUUUUGUUCACUUUAAAUAGGUGGGCGAAUAAGGGCUGGGUAAUACAGGUGCCAGCCGCCGCGGUAAUACCUGAGGCCCAAGUGAUGGCCACUAUUAUUGGGUCUAAAGCGUCCGUAGCCGGUCUAGUAAGUUCCUGGUGAAAUCCUUUAGCAAACUGAAGGGCGUGCUGGGAAUACUACUAGGCUUGAGACCGGGAGAGGGUAGAGGUACCUAUGGGGUAGGGGUUAAAUCCUGUAAUCCUGUAGGGACCACCUGUGGCGAAGGCGUCUACCUGGAACGGGUCUGACGGUGAGGGACGAAAGCGUGGGUAGCGACCGGGAUUAGAUACCCCGUUAGUCCACGCCGUAAACGAUGCCCGCUUGGUGUUGUAGGCUUCUUGGGAGCCUGCAGUGCCGGAGCGUAGGUGUUAAGCGGGCCACCUGGGGAGUACGUCCGCAAGGAUGAAACUUAAGGGAAUUGGCGGGGGAGCACACAAGGGGUGGGCACUGCGGUUCAAUUGGAUUCAACGCCGGG